This 253-nucleotide ribosomal RNA is filed under the name uncultured bacterium. RNAcentral describes it as "partial 16S ribosomal RNA". It matches the Rfam family "Bacterial small subunit ribosomal RNA", at positions 524 to 776 of the family's 1533-position model. The record is from RNAcentral.
UACAGAGACCUCACGCGUUACUCGGAUUCACUGGGCGUAAAGGGAGCGCAGGCGGUCAAAUGUGUCAGGUGUGAAAUCCCAAGGCUUAACUUUGGAACAGCGCCUGAAACUGUUUGAGUUGAGAGUCGGAGGGGUAAGCGGAAUUCCAGGUGUAGCGGUGAAAUGCGUAGAUAUCUGGAGGAACACCAACGGCGAAGGCAGCUUACUGGGCGAGAUCUGACGUUCACGCUCGAAAGUGUGGGGAGCAAAAGGG